This 896-nucleotide long non-coding RNA is filed under the name Homo sapiens (human). RNAcentral's name for it is "HSALNT0318495". The record is from RNAcentral. Lineage: Eukaryota; Metazoa; Chordata; Mammalia; Primates; Hominidae.
AUAGACAGUGUCUUCCUUGCUCAACAAGGCCUCGAGGCUUUUUUCCUGUAUUUCUGAGGGCCUAACCCUUCUCCCAGGGCAGAGUUGAGAGGCUUAUAUGAGAGGUUUCUGGAAGGGCAGGCUCAGUAUCUGACACUGACAGUGUCUCUUGGCCUGGGAUCGCCUGAGGGCCCUGUGAAGCUUCAGAGCAGUGCCUGAAACACUCUGAGGACAGAAACUCAGGGACCAACACACCUGUUUCCACAGAGCUGGCCCCUGCCUCUGCUUCCUGGAAGCACUGCAAGAGUGCCUGCAGUUAUAGCCGGGAGAUGACCACAGUGAGAAGCCAGAGAAGAGGUAAACAGCAACCUUGGGCAAGCAGGAAGGCAGAAGCAGAUGCUUGGAACCACCCAGAGGUUUUCUACCACAGAAUGUGUAACUUUGAUUUUCACACACAAAAUGGUCUCAACAGUGGUUGAAAUAUACAAAAACAGAAACCCCAAUCCAGCCCUUAGCCUGAUGCUCUGCAUGCUGUUAAGAAGGGGGUGUUGAAUGAUUCCAUUUAUUUGAAAUACCCAGGAGAGGGAGAAGGUUCAUUUGAGAACUUCCCCUGCUGAAGCUUUCCCUGACCCUCUGGGAGGGGCCGGACCCUCCGUCUGUGGUCCCACAACCCCUGAGGAGGAGGAGGCACUCAUCAGGUCCCUUGGCGCCUUGCAGCCCUUUUCUUGGGCCUGCCUUUUACCUCCAUCCUCCACUCCACUGAUGGCUCAGAGCCCAGAAUCCUGUCUUCAUCCUGGCAACAGUCCCUUCAGGGCCCAGCAGGAUGGGGGAAUGAAUAAAUGUGCCUGUUUCUGAACAUAAUCAUUAAAUUCUUUACCUGUAAUGUGGACAUUAAAGGUGAAUCAUUUCCCCCCUUA